AACUUGUUCACAAACAAACGUGUUUUAAGCUGCUAAAGACAUAUGAUUCAAACGCUGAGAAAGUCCUUUGUUCUAUAUUUUUGCUCUCCAUUUUUAUGCAAAACCUUUUACAUUUUUAUUUUAUUGGUUAUUGUUGAAGGUCGUACGAUGACGUAUAGUUGUUAACACAUACUUCCUUUGGUUUCUUAUGGAAAUUUGUCCAUUGACAACAAACAUAC
Molecule: long non-coding RNA, 218 nt
Filed under: Mytilus galloprovincialis (Mediterranean mussel)
Lineage: Eukaryota; Metazoa; Mollusca; Bivalvia; Mytilida; Mytilidae
Source: RNAcentral